RNAcentral lists this ribosomal RNA (497 nucleotides) under uncultured bacterium. RNAcentral's name for it is "partial 16S ribosomal RNA". It matches the Rfam family "Bacterial small subunit ribosomal RNA", at positions 28 to 507 of the family's 1533-position model. The record is from RNAcentral.
GACGAACGCUGGCGGCGUGCCUAAUACAUGCAAGUCGAACGAAGAGACGAGGAGCUUGCUCCUCUCACGUUAGCGGCGGACGGGUGAGUAACACGUGGAUAACCUACCUAUAAGACGGGGAUAACUUCGGGAAACGGGAGCUAAUACCGGAUAAUAUAGUGAACCGCAUGGUUCUUUAGUGAAAGACGGUUUUGCUGUCACUUAUAGAUGGAUAGCGGCGUCUUUGGCUGGUUGGUAAGGUAACGGCCUACCAAGGCAACGAUGCGUAGCCAACUUGAGAGGGGGGUCGCCCACCUGGGACGGUGAACACGGCCAAGGCUCCUGCGGUAGGCGCCAGAAGGAAACCUUCGGCAAUGGGCGAAAGCCUGACGGACCAGCGCGCCGUGAGUAAUAAAGGUCUCGGGAUCGUAAGACUCUGUUUUUGGUGAUAAACAAAUGUGGAAGUAACUAUGCACGUCUUGACGGUACCUGAUCAGAAAGCCACGGCUAACUACGUG